This 499-nucleotide ribosomal RNA is filed under the name uncultured bacterium. RNAcentral describes it as "bacterial SSU rRNA". It matches the Rfam family "Bacterial small subunit ribosomal RNA", at positions 40 to 519 of the family's 1533-position model. The record is from RNAcentral.
CCGCCGCAGUAACACAUGCAAGUCGCACGAGAGAGGGCUUCGGCCCCGGUACAGUGGCGCACGGGUGAGUAACACGUGGGUAAUCUGCCUUCGAGCGGGGGAUAACAUUCCGAAAUGAGUGCUAAUACCGCAUAAGACCACGCCUCCGAAAGGAGAAGCGGUCAAAGCUGGCCUCUAUACAUAAGCUAGCACUCGAUGAUGAGGCCGCGGAGCAUCAGCUAGUUGGUGAGGUAAUGGCUCACCAAGGCUUAGACGCUUAGCUGGUCUGAGAGGAUGAUUGGCCACACUGGAACUGAGACACGGUGCAGACUCCUACGGGCGGCAGGAGUGGGGAGUCUUGCGCAAUGGGCGAAAGCCUGACGCAGCGACGCCGCGUGAGUGAUGAAGGCCUUCGGGGUGUAAAGCUCUGUGGGGAGAGAGGAAUAAGUGCGGGCUAAUACUCCGCAUGAUGACGGUAUCUCCUUAGCAAGCACCGGCUAACUCUGUGCCAGCCGCCGCC